GCAUAUCAAUAAGCGGAGGAAAAGAAACCAACAGGGAUUGCCCUAGUAACGGCGAGUGAAGCGGCAACAGCUCAAAUUUGAAAUCUGGCCUCGGCCCGAGUUGUAAUUUGUAGAGGAAGCUUUUGGCGCGGCACCUUCCGAGUCCCCUGGAACGGGGCGCCAGAGAGGGUGAGAGCCCCGUAUGGUUGGAUGCCUAGCCUGUGUAAAGCUCCUUCGACGAGUCGAGUAGUUUGGGAAUGCUGCUCAAAAUGGGAGGUAAAUUUCUUCUAAAGCUAAAUACCGGCCAGAGACCGAUAGCGCACAAGUAGAGUGAUCGAAAGAUGAAAAGCACUUUGAAAAGAGGGUUAAAUAGCACGUGAAAUUGUUGAAAGGGAAGCGCUUGUGACCAGACUUGCGCCGGGCUGAUCAUCCGGUGUUCUCACCGGUGCACUCUGCCCGGCUCAGGCCAGCAUCGGUUCUCGCGGGGGGACAAAGGUCCCGGGAACGUAGCUCCCUCGGGAGUGUUAUAGCCCGGGGCGCAAUGCCCUCGCGGGGACCGAGGCUCGCGCUCUGCAAGGAUG
This 560-nucleotide ribosomal RNA is filed under the name Parvomelanocarpus tardus. RNAcentral's name for it is "eukaryotic LSU rRNA". It matches the Rfam family "Eukaryotic large subunit ribosomal RNA", at positions 38 to 625 of the family's 3401-position model. The record is from RNAcentral. Lineage: Eukaryota; Fungi; Ascomycota; Sordariomycetes; Sordariales; Chaetomiaceae.